Paramuricea clavata is the source of this 79-nucleotide non-coding RNA. NCBI's taxonomy places the organism in Eukaryota, Metazoa, Cnidaria, Anthozoa, Malacalcyonacea, Plexauridae. The record is from the annotation of a GenBank genome assembly.
CGAGGGAAAUAGUUAGUUUUGUUUUCCCGAGAAUCUCAACAUUGAGAUUCGUGGGAAAACAAAACUAACUCUUUCCCGA